RNAcentral lists this ribosomal RNA (236 nucleotides) under uncultured bacterium. RNAcentral describes it as "partial 16S ribosomal RNA". It matches the Rfam family "Bacterial small subunit ribosomal RNA", at positions 100 to 334 of the family's 1533-position model. The record is from RNAcentral.
CGGGACGGGUGAGUAACGCGUGGGUAACCUGCCUUGUACUGGGGGACAACAGUUAGAAAUGACUGCUAAUACCGCAUAAGCGCACAGUAUCGCAUGAUACAGUGUGAAAAACUCCGGUGGUGCAAGAUGGACCCGCGUCUGAUUAGCUAGUUGGUAAGGUAACGGCUUACCAAGGCGACGAUCAGUAGCCGACCUGAGAGGGUGACCGGCCACAUUGGGACUGAGACACGGCCCAA